Long non-coding RNA from Sander lucioperca (pikeperch), 192 nucleotides. RefSeq lists it as uncharacterized. The record is from RefSeq and is a predicted model, not a curated record. NCBI's taxonomy places the organism in Eukaryota, Metazoa, Chordata, Actinopteri, Perciformes, Percidae. The transcript is spliced from 4 exons.
UUAACUACAGAUAUCACGAGACCCAGUACUUUGGUACCAAAAUUUUGAAAACGUGACAGUACUCGUUUUUCUACAGUACCGUAGGUACCGGGGGAUGCAAUUCUUCUGGACCUGAUGGGACAUUAUAUGUCUACAAGUGUUCUAGUCUACCAUUAAUUGCUGGAGAAGAAGAAGAACGUCCACCAGCACAGA